CAGCAGCCGCGGUAAUACGAAGGGGGCUAGCGUUGUUCGGAUUUACUGGGCGUAAAGGGCGCGUAGGCGGGCGAAUAAGUCAGGGGUGAAAUCCCAAGGCUCAACCUUGGAACUGCCUUUGAUACUGUUUGUCUUGAGUUCGAGAGAGGUAAGUGGAACUGCGAGUGUAGAGGUGAAAUUCGUAGAUAUUCGCAAGAACACCAGUGGCGAAGGCGGCUUACUGGCUCGAAACUGACGCUGAGGCGCGAAAGCGUGGGGAGCAAACAGGAUUAGAUACCCCCGUAGUCCCUGUCUCUUAUAA
Molecule: ribosomal RNA, 301 nt
Filed under: uncultured bacterium
Lineage: Bacteria
Description: partial 16S ribosomal RNA
Rfam family: Bacterial small subunit ribosomal RNA
Source: RNAcentral